GGGUUGUGAGGUUAAGCGACUAAGCGUACACGGUGGAUGCCCUGGCAGUCAGAGGCGAUGAAGGACGUGCUAAUCUGCGAUAAGCGUCGGUAAGGUGAUAUGAACCGUUAUAACCGGCGAUUUCCGAAUGGGGAAACCCAGUGUGAUUCGUCACACUAUCAUUAACUGAAUCCAUAGGUUAAUGAGGCGAACCGGGGGAACUGAAACAUCUAAGUACCCCGAGGAAAAGAAAUCAACCGAGAUUCCCCCAGUAGCGGCGAGCGAACGGGGAGGAGCCCAGAGCCUGAAUCAGUGUGUGUGUUAGUGGAAGCGUCUGGAAAGGCGCGCGAUACAGGGUGACAGCCCCGUACACAAAAAUGCACAUACUGUGAGCUCGAUGAGUAGGGCGGGACACGUGGUAUCCUGUCUGAAUAUGGGGGGACCAUCCUCCAAGGCUAAAUACUCCUGACUGACCGAUAGUGAACCAGUACCGUGAGGGAAAGGCGAAAAGAACCCCGGCGAGGGGAGUGAAAAAGAACCUGAAACCGUGUACGUACAAGCAGUGGGAGCCUCUUAAUGGGGUGACUGCGUACCUUUUGUAUAAUGGGUCAGCGACUUAUAUUCUGUAGCAAGGUUAACCGAAUAGGGGAGCCGAAGGGAAACCGAGUCUUAACUGGGCGUUAAGUUGCAGGGUAUAGACCCGAAACCCGGUGAUCUAGCCAUGGGCAGGUUGAAGGUUGGGUAACACUAACUGGAGGACCGAACCGACUAAUGUUGAAAAAUUAGCGGAUGACUUGUGGCUGGGGGUGAAAGGCCAAUCAAACCGGGAGAUAGCUGGUUCUCCCCGAAAGCUAUUUAGGUAGCGCCUCGUGAAUUCAUCUCCGGGGGUAGAGCACUGUUUCGGCAAGGGGGUCAUCCCGACUUACCAACCCGAUGCAAACUGCGAAUACCGGAGAAUGUUAUCACGGGAGACACACGGCGGGUGCUAACGUCCGUCGUGAAGAGGGAAACAACCCAGACCGCCAGCUAAGGUCCCAAAGUCAUGGUUAAGUGGGAAACGAUGUGGGAAGGCCCAGACAGCCAGGAUGUUGGCUUAGAAGCAGCCAUCAUUUAAAGAAAGCGUAAUAGCUCACUGGUCGAGUCGGCCUGCGCGGAAGAUGUAACGGGGCUAAACCAUGCACCGAAGCUGCGGCAGCGACACUAUGUGUUGUUGGGUAGGGGAGCGUUCUGUAAGCCUGUGAAGGUGUGCUGUGAGGCAUGCUGGAGGUAUCAGAAGUGCGAAUGCUGACAUAAGUAACGAUAAAGCGGGUGAAAAGCCCGCUCGCCGGAAGACCAAGGGUUCCUGUCCAACGUUAAUCGGGGCAGGGUGAGUCGACCCCUAAGGCGAGGCCGAAAGGCGUAGUCGAUGGGAAACAGGUUAAUAUUCCUGUACUUGGUGUUACUGCGAAGGGGGGACGGAGAAGGCUAUGUUGGCCGGGCGACGGUUGUCCCGGUUUAAGCGUGUAGGCUGGUUUUCCAGGCAAAUCCGGAAAACCAAGGCUGAGGCGUGAUGACGAGGCACUACGGUGCUGAAGC
RNAcentral lists this ribosomal RNA (1554 nucleotides) under Escherichia coli. RNAcentral describes it as "partial 23S ribosomal RNA". It matches the Rfam family "Bacterial large subunit ribosomal RNA", at positions 1 to 1591 of the family's 2925-position model. Lineage: Bacteria; Pseudomonadati; Pseudomonadota; Gammaproteobacteria; Enterobacterales; Enterobacteriaceae. The record is from RNAcentral.